This 498-nucleotide long non-coding RNA is filed under the name Ananas comosus (pineapple). Its description in RNAcentral is "long non-coding RNA (ACOM_LNC042219)". The record is from RNAcentral. Lineage: Eukaryota; Viridiplantae; Streptophyta; Magnoliopsida; Poales; Bromeliaceae.
UAAUACACUGGGUCUUAGCAGAUUGCAAGAUUCGAGUGUUUGAUCUGUGUGUGGAGCCUUUCCACAGUUUUUGGAGGGUCGUUGAUAGUGUUCCGACCCCUGGCACGCACCCCGAGGGUGUUGGUUUGAGUCUUGGCACCAAGAUCCCAAAAUUGGAAUUUUUGGUCAGCCCUCGGAUAGCCUGCAGCAGGGCUUGUACCGGAACAAGAAUGGUCUUGUACCGGUACAAGGGUUGAUGGUUGUACCGGUACAGCCAUCGGGCUUGUACCGGUACAGAGCCGCAGACCGAGCAACCCGAGCUUCGGGUUUGCAUUUUCGUCGGCCUUGUACCGGUNUGUAUUUACUUUAUGUUUCAUUUAGUGGAUUUAUAGUAUUAUCCUUAUCCCUUGUUGUAGCAUGUAGACAUUUAUUAUGCUCUGAUACUCCUAGAUGUCUUUUAUUAUUGCUUUUAUUAUUGUUGUUUUUAGACGCCUUAUAUGUUGAAGACAUAUGGCGGGU